CGACCUCAGAUCAGACGAGACAACCCGCUGAAUUUAAG
RNAcentral lists this non-coding RNA (38 nucleotides) under Channa maculata (blotched snakehead). RNAcentral also lists the same sequence under 2 other names. The record is from RNAcentral. Lineage: Eukaryota; Metazoa; Chordata; Actinopteri; Anabantiformes; Channidae.